GAUGAACGCUGGCGGCGUGCCUAAUACAUGCGAGUCGAGCGAACAGACGAGGAGCUUGCUCCUCUGACGUUAGCGGCGGACGGGUGAGUAACACGUGGAUAACCUACCUAUAAGACUGGGAUAACUUCGGGAAACCGGAGCUAAUACCGGAUAAUAUAUUGAACCGCAUGAUUCAAUAGUGAAAGACGGUUUUGCUGUCACUUAUAGAUGGAUCCGCGCCGCAUUAGCUAGUUGGUAAGGUAACGGCUUACCAAGGCAACGAUGCGUAGCCGACCUGAGAGGGUGAUCGGCCACACUGGAACUGAGACACGGUCCAGACUCCUACGGGAGGCAGCAGUAGGGAAUCUUCCGCAAUGGGCGAAAGCCUGACGGAGCAACGCCGCGUGAGUGAUGAAGGUCUUCGGAUCGUAAAACUCUGUUAUUAGGGAAGAACAAAUGUGUAAGUAACUAUGCACGUCUUGACGGUACCUAAUCAGAAAGCCACGGCUAACUACGUG
Molecule: ribosomal RNA, 497 nt
Filed under: uncultured bacterium
Lineage: Bacteria
Description: partial 16S ribosomal RNA
Rfam family: Bacterial small subunit ribosomal RNA
Source: RNAcentral